CCAAAAAGAAGAGAACUUAGAGAAGACACUCAUCUCUCUCACCAAGUGAUCUCUCUCUUCCAUAAACACACACAUAAACUAAGCUUUCUCUCACUCAAAUCUCUCCAUAAACCUCACUAAUCACUCAAAAUCUAAAAAAUAACAUAAAAUGGAAGCCUACUCCUCAAGCUAGACAAAGGAAGGAAGCAGAAAAAAAGAAAAAAAAGAAGAAGAAAUUGCAAGAAAAUAGAGAAAGGGCUGAAACUUCCCACCGGCCGAUCUACCACCUCCGACGACGGUGAGAUACACCGCCUGCACUAGAUGGAAGAGGAAGCGUUUAUGUAGCUGCGGGCCCUUCACGCACUCCAAGAGCUCAUAGGCAUAUGGAAAAACACGCCACAAGCCACGGUGGUUCAAGCCGAGAUUGUAACCGACGCUCCACCAUGAACCUCCUAUGAAACCACCGGUCACUAACAACCUUUGUGCUCAUUUCAUCCACCAUUGAAGAUGGAAUGUACAUGGUGGCAAUUGACCACGUUCUUAGACCUGGUCGUUAUUGUGUGCUUUCUGGUCCCCCAUUAACAAUAUAAGAAUGAUUACCAAGCAUUGCAGCGUCCUAAAGAGGAACUGGAGGAGGAACAGAGGAAGAUCGAAGAGGUUACCAAACUUCUUAGCUGGGAAAAGAGGCAUGAGAUUGGUGAAAUAGCUAUCUGGCAUAAGAGAAUAAAUAAUGAUUUUUUCCGUGAGCAAGAUCCUAAACCAACUAUGUGUAAAUAUUUAUACUCUAAACAAUUUGCUAGAAAGAAGCUUAUCUUUGCUAGAAAAAUACAAAACAUUUUUUUUUUAUGUUCUGGAACUUCUGCCCAUUAUUUCCAGUAAGAACAACAUUGAUAUAGCAGAUCCACGUUUGAUUGUUGUUCCCUGUGUUGCUUUCUUAGUCUUUUUAUUUUCUUUGGCCCUGUUUGAGUGGAUUGUCAUCUGUUGCAAUACUGAUAUUAUGCCAAUAGUGUUACCAUUACUUAAGUUGCACACUACUACGAGGAUGAGUUUCCAUGAUGAAAGAUUUCAGUAGCUUGCGUAUUUCAAAUUAUUCAGCAUGAGAAAUUCUCUGAAGUUAUUUGUUUGAGGUAGAAAGCUUUUGCUCCAUGCUUACAGAAUUUUUUUCAUAUUGUUCUAGGUACAAGAAUGAGUAACACCUUAUCCUGGGACAGAUGAAGUCACCGGGGCAGCAUGGCAGCCAUUUUCAGAGAAACUAAAUGUUGUUCCUCCCAGAAUAUCCAGUGGCUCCAUUCCAGGAUUGUCAGUUGAGAAAUUUCUAGAGGACAAUCGAACAUUAGCACUCAAUAUAUUUCGUUUUAAGCCCUUCCCAUUCAUGAUUCAUGUUCCUAUUAUUCUCGGUAUAGUUGCAAGUAUUUUAUGGUGCUGCAUGAUUUUUGCGUCUAAGUUUCAUUAUAGCCUUUAAAAUUCCAGCUUCGUAUGCGGGGUUAUUGGUCAUAUAAUUGGUGUUGGGGUUGUUCUUGGUCUUCAGAACAUUGGUGCACUGUAAAAAGCGUAUACCCUGCUUUAGAAUUCUUUUUUAAUAAAAUGAAAAUGCCUACAGAUUUUCUGUAAAUGACGGAAUAUUCUUUCGAUGAUUCUGUCUGUAUUAAAAAUCACAGACUAAAUUGUCAACAGAAUAAAAUCGUUGAUGCUCAACUUUCUGAUGACUGAAUUCUGUCAGUGAUUUUUAAUACCAGCAUGAUUUUCUCUAAAUGCUGACCGUCAUUUCUGAGAGUGAAAAAAAUCCUGAAACUAAACGAUUUCUUGAAAAUGGGAAUAGCUCCCAUGAAAGCCCAGGUAUAUCCCGUUGCAUGUGGUGGACAUAUUACAAAAGUAAUUUAUCAAAUUAAGUUUUUAACAACUGAUAUAAGUUAGAUAAAAUUUGAAUAGGCACAUAAACUUUUGAAAUGGAACUAAUGUAUCCGAUUAGUAGUCCAAAAAAUGGAGGAAAAUGAAUUCUUGCAUAUUGUAGAAUUAAACUUUUUCUCUCUUUAAUAUGAGAAUUGAAUAAUCAUAUGUAUUUUUAUAUUAGAUUAUACAUCAAUCAAAAUUAUAUUUUUAUACUAAUGAUCUUAAAAUACAAUUCUCGCGUCGAUCCCAUUUAUCUUAUUAAACCAAUCUUAAAAACUAAAAAAAAAAGAGAUAAAUAUCCUUAACAACUAAAAUCUUGCUGUGUGGAAUUUUUGGUUUUUUUCUUUGAUUUUUCCUAGAUUUUAAACAUCUGUAUGUAUGUGAUUUAUACACUAGCAAGUAGAGUGUUUCAAUCAGGCUACGAAUUUUUCUGUAAAACUUUUGUUAAUGUCAAGUGGUAAAUAGACUUUUUUUAAAACAUACAUGCUAGUUUUCUGGUCAGAGAGUUUUGAGUUGAGGUUUGGAGGAAAUACAUGUUCUUAUGUCAAGUGUAAAUGCUAGUUUUCAAGGGUUUUUUUUUUUUUUUUAAUAACCUUUUGAAAGGCAUGCUGCUUUCUUUAGUGUCUCAGAAUAUGCUUGAGUUGAGAUUUGAGGAAAUGCCUAAUUUAGUGCUUUUAACUCAAUUAUUGGAACGUUCAUGUAUAAUAUACCAAUCAAACAAUCAUGGUAAAGUUAGCAUAAGGAACUACAUCUUUCAAAAUCAUAUAUAUUUCUUAGUUCUUAAUUCGACUAGCAUUUUUGUAUCUCCCGUUUAUUCUUAUGUAGGUUUUGAACUGUGUCUAAGCUUUCUGAAAUAUUGAUGUCUGUCCAAGUUAUAUGAUUGCUGUUUCAUUGAUAUUUUUAGAUUUCUUCCAUUUCAGCUUGUUUGAUGCAUGAAAGAACUGGUGCCCCGCUUUCUGAAAUGAGUUCUCUGAAUAAGUAGACUUUACACUUUAUAUUGCUAGUUCUUAAUUAUUGCUUGUGAAACCAAAACAUGUCUGUAUUAUAGGUUUUUCGCCACAUUUUAAUUUCUUGCUGGUACUGAUCCUGUUUUUGUUUUAAAAUUAUAAAUUUAGGUAGGCUAUGAUAUGAUGAUACUGUGAUGCAGUCAAAACGGAUGUAUUUGUGCCUUAUGGUUGAAUAAUUUUAGAUCAGUUUAACAUUCUGUAAGGGUUUUGACGUGUUGGCAAAAUGCCAAAUUCACCUUUGUUGUUGUAUAUUUUCUUACUAGAAGAUGCAUGUCAGGUUUCUUGAAUAUGGAUGAAGAUAAGUCCUUAUCAGAAGCUCACAGCUGAUGCGCAUGCUAGUUUUGUCCACAUGAACAAGCUUCGGGCACAGUGCUGCAUUGGAAAGUAGAAACGGCUUUAGCUUGCAAGAUUCCAUAUAUUUUUUCAACUCUAUUUUUGGUAUUUGUUCCAGCAUUUCAUUUUUCAUUUUACCCAUAUUCAGAUUAACUAAAAUUCUAGUGAAUGCAUUUCAUAAAUCUUGAUUGGUGUGCAUAUAUGUGGGACUUCUGAUUGCUGCAUUUGAAGAGCGCAGGGAUCUGAAGCUUGGUUAACCCUUGCCUGCUGCUGUAGAAGAUUUGCUUCUAAUUUUGCGAUUGCCUGGUGACUGUCAUGCCAAGUUCUUUUUUUUACAGCCCUGAUAUGAAGUGGAAUGUCUAUAAACAUCCUUUCUACAGUAAUUAUUCCAUCCCGAAAUCAACCAGCCAUGAUCUGUAAUAUAAGCACCGAAAAUUAAUCUGUUGAGCACAAGAGCCAGAUGGCCUAAGACAUUUACUAGAGUGGAGAUCUGAGAUGAGCUACAAAUAUUAAUAUCAUCGCGAUUGCGCCAUCUAUUCAGGUGGUUGAUGAGGCACCUUGAAAUCUUGGUACAUUGCUAUUGUUUUAAGGAUCACUUUAUUUUUUUUGAUAGAUAUGUGCGUAGGCAAUUCAUCUGCAUAUUCAAUUGAUACUACAGAACUUGAGGGACAAAGCUGUUGUAUAUGGAUCAUGUUGUUGUUUUUAUCUUAUAUUAUUAUUUGGAUCAUAGUGGGAAUUUCAUCUAGUCUACGUGUUGGUUAGUGCUAUGUAUCUGUUCUAUCGGUCUUGCUAGCUGAUGGGAGACCUCUUGCUCAUUCUUAUCCUCAGCGUUGCUGCACUUAUAUCAGAUGGUGUGCUGUUGCAGGGAACUGUUGAGCUCCGUCCGAGGGCAUGAGAGAUAAAGGUCUUUGCAUAGUUAUGGAAGUGGAAGUUUGGUUACUAGUGGCACCCUAGCAUCAAAGCAGAUCCUUGAAAAGGUUUUUCAUUUUUCAGUUCUCAUACAGGACGUAGCUGUUACUCAUAGCAGCCCACAUGGAUCGAAGAACUGUGAACCUCCUCCUUUCGCAACCUCUACGGAUGCCGCUGGGGUAGAACUUGAACAUGCGCUGAUUAAAUUCACAUCAGUAACAUGAUUAUGCAGGGAAAAGAUUAUAAAAUCAAACUGAUCAUUAAGAAGAAGAAAGAAGAACUGUCAAGAACAAGUCAUGAAAUUGAUUGGCUCGGAAAGAUAGAGAUAAUUUAGGAUUCCAAGAAACCCUUUCUUUUAUAUUCCAUACAUUUUUUUCCCAUCCUUUUCAGUUUGGAGUUAUCUGCCAUGAGAAUUCCCUACCAAUCAAGUGUUCUCACCGAUGCCCUUUAUUCCUGAUCAAACCUGACUUUUAGGUUUUGUCUCUUUCACUAGCCAAGUUGCCAUGUUGAGACUUUAUCCUCGAGUUAAACCUAGAAACGAAGUCAGAGCGUGCUCACCACGCACAAAUCACAUUGUGACAUCAGAGUAGCUAGUCUGCCGUCGAAGAUAGAGUUCUGAAAUUCAUGGUUCGAAACUUAAAAAGAUGGGGAUUUGAGAGGUUCGAAGCAGAUCCGUUGUAGGGACUUCGGAAGUACAACAAUAUGGGGAUCGGAAUCAGCCUAAAUGUCAGUGCUGCAGUAUGGCAAAGUAGAAGAGAAGAAGCCUCUCUUCCUUCCUUCCUUCCUCUGAGAGGAUAUUCUAAUCAGCACUGGAAUGAAGCUACCAAACGUACAUGGAGAGGGAUAUCCUUCGGCUACUUUCUUCUCUUUAUUUCUUUCUUUUUGUUCAGAAUUAGUACACAGAAUUUCGGGCUAUCCUCUUUGCAGCUCCCAUGAACAUGGUACUCCUCAAAUGAGGAUUCUUUUAUGAUUCAAAAUGUUAAUGAUCGAUUAUUAAAUUAUCCGAUUUGUAUAAAAAUAAUGAAAAAAAACUUAUUAAUUUCAAA
Molecule: long non-coding RNA, 5164 nt
Organism: Populus trichocarpa (black cottonwood)
Lineage: Eukaryota; Viridiplantae; Streptophyta; Magnoliopsida; Malpighiales; Salicaceae
Exons: 4
Source: RefSeq, a predicted model, not a curated record